Cyanistes caeruleus (blue tit) is the source of this 992-nucleotide long non-coding RNA. The record is from Ensembl. Lineage: Eukaryota; Metazoa; Chordata; Aves; Passeriformes; Paridae.
AGCUAUGUGUCAGAGAAAAAUCAUUCCUGAACCCACCACUGGUGAGGGCAGAUUAGAUCCUAAACUGGUAAUGAAAAAUCAUGAAAACACGUGGAAGCUGUUUUUAUCUUCUGUUUGCCUUUUCAUAUACUUAAGUGCUUAUUUUGAAUACCUUUUCGUGUAUUUCCAGUUAUGUCUGUCAUAUUAAUCCCUGGUGACACUAUUGAGUAUAUGUCACAUUACACAGUACUGAAGAAUAGGCUUGAGCAGAAACCUCAGACAUCUGUGGAUUUGGUUGAAGUACAACUGUGCUUUACAUGUGAGAGUUGUCUCAAACACACAUGCAUUCCUCAGACUUGACUUUUGCAGUUAUAACAAAAAUUGUGUUGAUUUAGCAGCUUUAUCACUUUUUCUCCUUACUGAUUUCACAGUGAAGAAAUAAACAUAGUAAUCUUUGUGUUUCUUUAAUACUUGAAUGUAAAAUUUCCCAGUUUAUCUGGGACAAUGAGUAUAAUUAUACCAUUCUAGACAUGGGAUAUGUUCUGGACUAAAAAGGAAUAUUUAUAUUCCUGCAAAUACUAGUCUUUUCUUUACCAUAACUUCUGUGCGGGCUUUUGAGUAAUGAAGUUUUCCUUGGCCAGUUUAUCAGAACCAUUUAAAUGCUUGACAUGUGUAAACCAGUGUUUCAGAGCAUAUAAAAUCCAGUUUCAGUGCCAUUAAAAUCCAUAUAUAAAAUCCAAGUUCUCACCUGUAAUUAACGGGCAAUCACUUGUAAUUGCCCUAUGUCUCUUGUUUUUUACAGCGCUCUUGUACAAUCUUAUUACUCGGGUUACUCAUCAAGAUCUGGAUCCAGCUGCCCUGCCCUGAUUUCAGUUUUCAGUUCUGACAUGGGAUGGCUCCUUGUACAGCUCCCUGUGAACAGUCAGCCUGCAGGUCCUAAGGAGAGAUCAAACAUCGAGGUGAGCGUGAGCUUUCAUGGCAUUGGCAAAGCUGAACAUCACAGCGACCAUUAA